This 577-nucleotide ribosomal RNA is filed under the name uncultured Cryptococcus. RNAcentral describes it as "LSU rRNA". It matches the Rfam family "Eukaryotic large subunit ribosomal RNA", at positions 44 to 616 of the family's 3401-position model. The record is from RNAcentral. Lineage: Eukaryota; Fungi; Basidiomycota; Tremellomycetes.
CAAUAAGCGGAGGAAAAGAAACUAACAAGGAUUCCCCUAGUAGCGGCGAGCGAACCGGGAAGAGCUCAAAUUUAAAAUCUGGCGUCCUUCGAGGCGUCCGAGUUGUAAUCUACAGAAGUGUUUUCCGUGCCGGACCGUGUCCAAGUCCCUUGAGAAUAGAGGUAUCAAAGAGGGUGACAUAUCCCGUACUUGACAGCAGACAGACCGGUGCUCUGUGAUACACUUUACUACGUAGUACGAGUUGUGUGGGAAUGCAGCUCAAUAAUGGGUGGUAAAUUCCAUCUAAAGCUAAAUAUACGCGAGAGACCGAUAGCGAACUAGUACCGUGAGGGAAUGAUGAAAAGCACUUAGGAAAGAGAGUUAAAGCAGUACGUGAAAUUGUUGAGGAGGGGAUGAUUGAAGUCAGUCGUGUCUGUUGGUCUCAGCUGGUUCUGCCGGUGUAUUACCAACAGACGGGUCAACAUCAGUUCUUGAGCGGUGGAAAUAAGGUAUGANGGGAACGUAGCCUCCCUCCCCGGGGAGGUGUUUUAUAGGCCCCCUUUUAAGUUUGACAUUUAACACCUUAGNCCUUGGAAAA